This 1218-nucleotide ribosomal RNA is filed under the name uncultured Rhizaria. RNAcentral describes it as "SSU rRNA". It matches the Rfam family "Eukaryotic small subunit ribosomal RNA", at positions 577 to 1805 of the family's 1831-position model. The record is from RNAcentral.
CGGUAAUUCCAGCUCCAAUAGCGUAUACUAAAGUUGUUGCAGUUAAAAAGCUCGUAGUUGGAUUUCUGCGGGGACGGAGCGGCCGGACGCAACUUGCGUCUCGAGCUAGCGCUUUCCCCGCAUCCUGCCGCGAACCGUGCUACCAUUAGCUCGGUGGCGCUGGGGAUCGGCUCGAUUACUUUGAGAAAAAUAGAGUGUUCAAAGCAGGCCACACGCCUUGAAUAAGUUAGCAUGGAAUAAUGACUAAGGACUUCGGUUCUAUUUUGUUGGUGUUCGGGACUGAAGUAAUGAUUGAUAGGGACAGUUGGGGCGGUCUGUAUUCCAAAGCGAGAGGUGAAAUUCUUAGACCUUCGGAAGACAAACAGCUGCGAAAGCGUUCCGCAAGGAUGUUCCCUUUGAUCAAGAACGAAAGUUGGGGGAUCGAAGACGAUCAGAUACCGUCGUAGUCUCAACUAUAAACUAUACCAGCUAGGGAUCGGUCAACGUUUAAUCAUUCGACUUGAUCGGCACCUUAUGAGAAAUCAAAGCAUCUGGGUUCCGGGGGGAGUAUGGUCGCAAGGCUGAAACUUAAAGGAAUUGACGGAAGGGCACCACCAGCCGUGGAGCCUGUGGCUUAAUUUGACUCAACACGGGAAAACUUACCAGGUCCAGACAUAGUAAGGAUUGACAGAUUGAUAGCUCUUUCUUGAUUCUGUGGGUGGUGGUGCAUGGCCGUUCUUAGUUGGUGGAGUGAUUUGUCUGGUUAAUUCCGUUAACGAACGAGACCCCAGCCUGCUAAAUAGCGCGGCUGAGCUUUGCUCGGUGCGAGCUUCUUAGAGGGACUAUGAUGCGCGAUAGCACAUGGAAGUUUGGGGCAAUAACAGGUCUGUGAUGCCCUUAGAUGUUCUGGGCCGCACACGGGCUACACUGGCGCCUGCAACGAGCAUAUCAGCUGGCCCGAGAGGGUCUUGGCUAAUCUUUUGAACCGGCGCCGUGCUUGGGAUUGACCAUUGCAAUUGUUGGUCAUGCAACGAGGAAUGCCUUGUAAACGCGAGUCAUCAGCUCGCAUUGAAUACGUCCCUGCCCUUUGUACACACCGCCCGUCGCUCCUACCGAUGAAUGUUCCGAUGAAAUUUUCGGAGAGCGCCAGAGAACGGGGCUCCGCCUUGCAGAUCUGGAGGCUCAAAGUCACUUAAAUCUGAACAUUUCGAGGAAGGAGAAGUCGUAACAAGGUAGCCG